Long non-coding RNA from Nerophis ophidion (straightnose pipefish), 4400 nucleotides. RefSeq lists it as uncharacterized. The record is from RefSeq and is a predicted model, not a curated record. NCBI's taxonomy places the organism in Eukaryota, Metazoa, Chordata, Actinopteri, Syngnathiformes, Syngnathidae. The transcript is spliced from 4 exons.
AAGCAUUUUUAUAUCCACCUGUUCACGGCAUUAUUUCCUGCUUGGUUUGGUGACAACAAACUUAAACACAGGGUGGUUGAUUCCUAAAAAACAUAAAUAAUAAUUACAUCAUGUGUACUCGACUCGGUCAAAUGAAGAUAGCCCGAACAUCUGAAUGGAGAUUGGGAUGAAGCAGUCAUCUGUUGAACCUCGUCUCCUGGGAAGGCCUGCUGGAUGGCCGCUGAUAAAAACCCUGGCUGUGGUUCACAUGCCUCUGGGAACAAGAGAGAGAGAGACCGUUUGAUGACAGUAUAAGUCCAGUCAGAGGAUCGGCAUGCUGGUCACCGGGCAGGACAAACCAUGGGAGCAAGAACCAGGAAGAAGAGCAAUUAUGAUCACACAGUCUAAGAAGAUCCCAGGGUACCGUGGUGGCUUCCUAUGCUGGGAACUGACGCAAAAAGAAAGAACUCGCUGGUCGUCUAGGAGAGGAUAUGGAUACUAUGGCAAUGGGAUCACCCGCAAUGCUGCCACCAUACUUUCUGUCCCGGUAACGCAGCUCGAGAUGACAUCAUUGCACUUUCUUCCUUUUCUGAAUGUGCAACCCUACACGACACCUCGGCCACGGAAAUGGCCGUUCGAUGGAUGUUCUCCACGCCAACAGCAGCAAUUCCAGGGACCUGGGUGCAGCCCUUGCCGCUGCUGAUGUAGAGAUCCUGUGCUUGUCUGCCUCCUCUCUGCCCGUCGCAUUGACACUCCACUUGUUGCCAUCAUUUGACGCUUCCCUGCUGGCUGGAUUAGUAACCAACCCUUGGUUCAUCAUGACAAGGCGUAUCUUUAGUGGCCUUCCACCAGUCCUUCCCCCCUUCCUUCCCUUGCUUUCCGACUUUUGUUGAUGUCUGGGACUGCUUAAAAUCUGAUAUCCGUUGUGUGAGGAGGCCAUCUUGUCAUGAGCCUACAUGACAGUUUUGACCUUGUUUGGUAUUUUCCUGUUUUGGAUCAUUGUCUGGACUGGUGCUUUCUUUUUGGUUCUACUUCUUUGGAUUCCUUGUUUUGCUACACCUUCACUUUCUGCUCUAUUUCCUACCAGCAAACCGGUUUCCAUUAGUCAAUCCAGCCGAUUUUGUUUCACCUGUCGCUCCUUGCUGGUGCUGAAUAAUUUUGCUUUGUACCUUCAGAAAAGUGUGUCUUCUGUGCACUUCUAUGCUGCAUUAGAUUUGUUUUGCUCUACUAGUGUUUUCCAAUUAAAUUGACUUUUUGCCCAUUUUUAGCUUUCUUUUCUCUGCAUCCUGGGGUCCAAACCGACAAUGGCAUCAUAAGAACAUAACAGCCCUGCUGGCAAUAAAGUACAAAAACGUAAAUGAAAAUAUUUAGGUACAUUUUCGGUACAGCAGGGGAAAGAAAUGCAAAACAUAAUGUUAGGGCCACUUUGAUACAUUUUGUCCAUUAUGAAUGCUAAAACAAAAAACAAUAUAAGUCAAUCUACUAUACCGUUGGUUCUCAAACUUUUUUUUUUACCAAGUAUCACCACAGAAAACACUUGUCCCUCCAAGUACCACCAUACUGACCAACAUUAAAAUACGAUAGCGUAGUAGGCCGAAAGUUUAAAUAUUCUGGCCACUGUAACAUUACACACAGUUUGAACAGUAACUCUGUGUUUUUGUAUAGGAAGAUAAAACACUGUACUUACAUCAAGUGAUUUUUUUUGGGGGCGCGCCACUAGAUCCAUUUUCUACCGCUUGUCUUAGGAUUUAACAUUUGAAACAUAUUGAAAAGUAAUCGCCCUCUAGACAUCCGCGUAAAUGUUGAAAACAACCCAUUUACUAGAAGCAACAAAUACAUGUUUAGAAACCGAAGAAGUCAACAUGUUAUACAUCAUUAUAACAUAACUUUUUGCUUUGUAAAAAAAAUAAAAAUAAAGUGAAGUUUAUGCAAAAAGAACAGUAUAAGUUGUGUCAGCAAAACAUAAUGUAAGUGGUGUCCUGGCUGUUCUACCAAUAACUAAAUAGGUGACAUGGGUUCAGUAAAGUAUUGACAAAGACAAAUUCCUCUUUUAGCUGCAUCAUUUUGUGAAAACUUCAUUGGAAUAGAAAAUCAACGCAAGCUCAUAGGCAGUCGUAAAAUAACAUGGCAGACAAAAUUUCCUUAUGAUAAUACUCUGUUCCCCAGUGCUUCACUGUACUGCAGAAAACGAAAUAAUAGAUGAUCAGUUUGAAAAAUCUUCUCACAUGUCUGAGGGGGUGUCUGCUUUUCUUUAAGAUGAUAUGCAAUGAUAAAGUCUAUCUUAUUUCUCUAUAACUACACAAUAAUUCAGUGUUAUCACAUUCGCUUGACUGUUUUGCACUCUUAAUAUACUAUAACUCACUGUCAUGUUUUGGUCCAAACACAUUAAUGUGAAGGAGAUUCGAAGAACGGCUAGCUUUGUGCCAACUAUAGUAAAUAUAAAAUAAUGAUGUUAUCCAUGUAUCUUUAUUUUUUCAUGAUGUCAAUGACUGGUAGCAUUUUAAAAAUGUUUUAAGGUAAAAAAUAAAUAUCCAGGCAGCAAAGAAUAAUUUAUAAUAUUUCCAUGGAAAUAUUUCAUAUAGCAUUUUCUGGAGAAAGAUGUGUGUGAGCGCCCUAAUAAGGAAAUUUCUGGGUAUGAUACUUUUUUCCAAGGACCCAAAAUUACACAAUCCGUCUAAUGUGCUGUUUGUAAAAAAUGUGCAACUUUCUAAAUUAGUUUAAAAGCGAUCUAGACUAAUGUACAUGAACAAACUUUUGACAUCAUCUCAGUGAGCAUCCAAAAGAUUAAUUCCAAAAGUAUGUUUUGCUUUUUCUCUGGCUUUUUAAAAAUGUAUUUAUGGUGAUUUUACCACAGAAAUUUAUUAAUGAGGGCAAAGAAGGUAAAUGUGAUGAUGACCAUAGAACCGGAAAUGUCACAUUUGUUGUGACAAAGGGAACGUUGUGUACUGGUUUCUCCAGUACAAUAUUUCAUAGCAUGUGGCUUAAAGCCUAAUGUGCAGUAACUGUUUUCCCUAUUAGUUUGUCAAGUGUCUUUAACAUUUUUCAUUUAUAUUAGGUUGAUCCUUAUAUAUAUUUUUUUCCUCCAAUGUAAUGACUUUGAUGUUACUUCAAACAUUACCUCCAUUAAAUCCUUGCUUGGAUUUAAUUAACUGACUUAACUUUAUUUCCUAUGGGAUAAAAUGUUUCAGAAUAAGGUUUAACAACUUAAAAGUCAAUGCGCAUUAGUUUGUUUUUGAUUUUUUCAAAAUUCCAUUGUAUAUUCUUAAGUGAAAAAAGUAAUAAUCUGUCACAUCAGAUCAUGACUUGUAUUAGUUAGUUGGCAUUUUCCUAUGUUAUGUAUCUUAGUUAAUGUUUAGCGCUCUUAUUUUAGUUGUUGUUCCCAUUUUGUUUGUGUGUUCCUGUAAGUAUUUUCUCUCUCGCCACUGAGCGUCUUCUCGUCACAGCUGUUUUAAUUUUUUGGGUUACAGCUUUUUAAAUUGUGCUUUUGCUGAAGGCCUUUUUUGGAUUUUGUCAUGUAUGUCAAUAAUUGUAGACGCUUCUCCUGCUGCACAUUUUAACCCGUUAGUUUUUGCUGUUCUCCAGCAUUCCGUUUUGUUUAUGCCUUGGUCAGUUUAGUUUUGUUUUCCAUAGCCUUUCCUAUGCGUUGGUGUCCUUCCUAACAGCACCCAUAUUUUUUUUUUUGAGCUAUUAAAUACCUGUUUACCUUCACAAUGCCUCCUCGGCUUUCUGCGUCUUGGGAACAGGUCAAAUUACUGCCGUCAUUCGACCAGAGCGUCACAAUUUUUUUUUUUAAAUGUCAAGGUGUAUGUUUUUCUGCAUUCAUUUGCAGAAUGUAUAACUUGAGUAAAUGCUGCUGUACAGGCUAAAUUGUGCCCUUAAUUAAUAAUAAGAAAAAAUGUGUUUUUUGUCAAACUUUAAAUUAAUUUGAUACAUGGCUUAGUACUAAACAUAUAAUAGUGAAAAAAAAACCUGUUCAAUAAUAAUUUUUUGUGGAAUACGUUUUUUACUAUCAUUAACUCCUAUUUCGAGAUGAGCACUAACAGAGUGGCCACAGUAACCGAUGUAAUUGCAUUGGAAAUCAUGUCUUUAUGUUCUAAUCGGUGAUGGAGCAGGAAGGGGCAAGGAAUUGCACCACAUCUCCCUAUAGGCAAAACACGCGCUUCGCGUAGCGCCCUAAAACUGGGCACCAUAAAAAAGCACAUGUAAAAUGUCAAUAAAUGAAUAACAGGGCGCUUCAUAUCAAAUUUACCAAAACAUAUUCCUAGCCCCUUCCUGCACUGUCAUUGAUAAGAAUAUACUGACAACUUUCUUCUGUCUUCCACAUUGUCUUCUGUAGUGUACAGUGUUACCAGGCAGGUAAUUUAAUGUAUUGAUAUCAAAUCCCGGUCAGGGUUGAGCCAGGAACAUAAGCAACUUUAUGC